CCGAAUCGUAACUUGAGAGAUAAUCUUCGAAUAAUAAUUAACUGAUUAACGAAGUAGUACAUGGUGAAUUGGGCACAUAAGUGGGACACAGCCCACCAAAAUUAUUUAUUGACGAUGCUUAAGUUAAAAGAGUUCCUGGGAGGGGGGGCAUUGGUGCUGGCAUUCUUCUCUGCUAUGGAAGCAUAACUCAAGGUGGCUGCACCACGAAUGGCAACGACCAACGCGAAAGCAAUACAGCUCCUUCUCAUCUCCCACCCCUUCAACACCAUUACCAUUACCAUUACCAUUUAUCCCUCGAGACCACCCUAACUUCACCUCUGCAAACCCAAAACCACGCAUCAAUCCCUCUCUCUCAAUGCAUUUUUAUUUUUUCUUUCUAAGCAAUGUGAAUGUGAAAACGGCACAUAUGCCACUAUAUUUGAGUUUUCUAGGAAUUAUGGUUUUUUAUAAUAUCGAAGCACCCUAUAAAUUUUUAAGUAUCAUAGCGGUCGAAUGUAUAGAACAUCGGGCCCAUACAUCGGACCGCCUCAUAAAAGAGAAUCGAUUGCAUCCUAGGAUGGUCCAGAGUUGCCAAUUGGACCACCCCAGAAAUGGGGCAAUCUGAUAGUUUAUCCUUCAUAUCACCUCACAAAUGCCAAAAACAAAAAAAAAAACAGUUCGAUGUUUGCAACAUAAAACUGAAGGAAAAUCAAGAAAAAUUAAAGGGCAAGCUUUCUAUACUUCCUCUAUUGUAUAAAACUUAUAUACUUCCUUCUAAUCGACCAUCCAUUCUUAAUGGACGAUUGAGAUGGCCCCACUCACAAUGUCACGCCUUUACACUAUUUUAUUUUUAAUUUUUUCAUAAAAUAUUUUAUUACCAAAUUUGGGAGUCAACUUCUUUUCACCUAUAAAAAAUAUGAAAACAAUAUUCCCAAUAAACUAAAUUGAUCAAAACGCCCCCUGAAUAUUUCAAGAGAAUUUUGGUUGCUUUAUUUUAUUUUAAAUAUGAGUAAUGAUACUAUGAGACCCUCCCGCACCUAUGUGAGUAGCACCCCAAAGGAUCACCACUAAAUUUCUACACAAAUCUUUAGAAAAGUUAUUAAUAAACCCAUUCACCCAAAUCCCACACCCAUGUGAUAACUUUUUUAGAUAUUUGUGUCAAAAUUUAAUGGUGAUCCUUUCGGGUUCUACUCACAUGGGUGUGGGAGGGUCUCAUAGUGUCAUUACUCUUUAAAUAUUAUUCAUAUAUUAUUUAGGUGCUCCCCAUUGUGAUGACAGCACGUACCAAAUUUCAUAUUCGUGUAUAUAUAUAUAUAUAUAUAUAUAUAUAUAUAUGUAUGCGUCAGAUCUAANNNNNNNNNNNNNNNNNNNNAUGUUGUAAAAUGCACUAUUUCUGAUAUUUAAAAUCUUUUUAUUUUUAAUGGUCAUACAUCUCGAUGUCGAGAUAAUCAAUCAAAGGGUUUUCAACAAUAAAUCUAUAUUUUUCGAUGGAUUUUUGAUGCGCAUCCAUAGCUCUACAUUAUAAGGUUGCAUCCUUAUAUAAACUUUUUCUUUCUCAAAAUUAAAACACAAAGAAAAAGACCUUUCCAUAAAAAUUUCUGAAAAUAUAGACCAAAUGGUAAUUUUAUAAAUCUAACCUGUUACAGUUGACCGCCAUUGGUGACCCUAUAGCGGCCAACCUAAACUAGAGAUCACAAAAUCCUUGCCCUAAGACGUUUAAGUUAGAUAACGUACCAGGGGAAAGAGCAGCAACCACAAUAAAAACAAUCAGCAAAAUAGACACAGGAGAGCGAAUGGCAGCCAUGGCUUAAGUUCCUUCAAGAAAGAGAGAAGGGAGAGAGAGCAAAAAACAGAGAGAGUGGUUGUAAACAAUGGUUCUUGAAG
RNAcentral lists this long non-coding RNA (1863 nucleotides) under Amborella trichopoda. RNAcentral describes it as "long non-coding RNA (ATRI_LNC004963)". The record is from RNAcentral. Lineage: Eukaryota; Viridiplantae; Streptophyta; Magnoliopsida; Amborellales; Amborellaceae.